UGGGGAAUUUUGGACAAUGGGCGAAAGCCUGAUCCAGCCAUGCCGCGUGCAGGAUGAAGGCCUUCGGGUUGUAAACUGCUUUUGUACGGAACGAUAAGACUCUGGUUAAUACCUGGGGUCCAUGACGGUACCGUAAGAAUAAGCACCGGCUAACUACGCGCCAGCAGCCGCGGUAAUACGUAGGGUGCAAGCGUUAAUCGGAAUUACUGGGCGUAAAGCGUGCGCAGGCGGUUAUAUAAGACAGAUGUGAAAUCCCCGGGCUCAACCUGGGAACUGCAUUUGUGACUGUAUAGCUAGAGUACGGCAGAGGGGGGAUGGAAUUCCGCGUGUAGCAGUGAAAUGCGUAGAUNUGCGGAGGAACACCGAUGGCGAAGGGCAAUCCCCUGGGCCUGUACUGACGCUCAUGCACGAAAAGCGUGGGGNGCAAACGGAUUAGAUACCCUGGUAGUCCA
RNAcentral lists this ribosomal RNA (452 nucleotides) under uncultured bacterium. RNAcentral's name for it is "partial 16S ribosomal RNA". It matches the Rfam family "Bacterial small subunit ribosomal RNA", at positions 355 to 797 of the family's 1533-position model. The record is from RNAcentral.